RNAcentral lists this ribosomal RNA (492 nucleotides) under uncultured bacterium. RNAcentral describes it as "partial 16S ribosomal RNA". It matches the Rfam family "Bacterial small subunit ribosomal RNA", at positions 29 to 507 of the family's 1533-position model. The record is from RNAcentral.
AGUGAACGCUGGCGGUAGGCCUAACACAUGCAAGUCGAACGGCAGCACAGUAAGAGCUUGCUCUUACGGGUGGCGAGUGGCGGACUGGUGAGGAAUACAUCGGAAUCUACUUUUUCGUGGGGGAUAACGUAGGGAAACUUACGCUAAUACCGCAUACGACCUACGGGUGAAAGCAGGGGAUCUUCGGACCUUGCGCGAUUGAAUGAGCCGAUGUCGGAUUAGCUAGUUGGCGGGGUAAAGGCCCACCAAGGCGACGAUCCGUAGCUGGUCUGAGAGGAUGAUCAGCCACACUGGAACUGAGACACGGUCCAGACUCCUACGGGAGGCAGCAGUGGGGAAUAUUGGACAAUGGGCGCAAGCCUGAUCCAGCCAUACUGCGUGGGUGAAGAAGGCCUUCGGGUUGUAAAGCCCUUUUGUUGGGAAAGAAAAGCAGCAGGUUAAUACCCCGCUGUUCUGACGGUACCCAAAGAAUAAGCACCGGCUAACUUCGUG